Molecule: ribosomal RNA, 253 nt
Filed under: uncultured bacterium
Lineage: Bacteria
Description: partial 16S ribosomal RNA
Rfam family: Bacterial small subunit ribosomal RNA
Source: RNAcentral
UACGUAGGAUGCAAGCGUUGUCCGGAAUUAUUGGGCGUAAAGAGCGCGCAGGCGGUCUAUCAAGUCAGAUGUGAAAUAUCCAGGCUUAACCUGGAGGGGUCAUUUGAAACUGGUAGACUAGAGUACAGCAGAGGAUAGUGGAAUUCCCGGUGUAGUGGUGAAAUGCGUAGAUAUCACUUGGAACGCCGACGGUGAAAACAGCUCGCUGGGUGUGUUCUGACGCUGAGGCACGAAAGCCAGGGGAGCGAACGGG